UCGUAACAAGGUUUCCGUAGGUGAACCUGCGGAAGGAUCAUUACACGUCUAGGGCGCUCCGGCGCUCUUUACACACCCACCCUCUGCCUACGCGUACCUCUAUAGCUUCCUCGGCGGGCUCGCCCGCCGCCAGGAACCCACAAAACCCCUUGCAUGAUGCACGAACACUUCUGAUUACAACCUAAAAUUAUCACAACUUUCAACAAUGGAUCUCUUGGUUCUGGCAUCGAUGAAGAACGCAGCGAAAUGCGAUAAGUAGUGUGAAUUGCAGAAUUCAGUGAAUCAUCGAAUCUUUGAACGCACAUUGCGGCCACGGGUAUUCCCGUGGCCAUGCCUGUUCGAGCGUCAUUUACACCCUCAAGCCUCGCUUGGUGUUGGGCGUCUGUCCCCCCGCGACACCUCUCGCCGCGGGGACUCGCCUCAAAGUCAUCCCGACGCGCGGUUAGGACGGCACUUUCGCAGCACAUUUGCGCAGAGAAAGCCGGCCAAACCGGGCACGGGGCAACAAACCUUUCACGACUUGACCUCGGAUCAGGUAGGGAUACCCGCUGAACUUAAGCAUAUCAAUAA
RNAcentral lists this unclassified non-coding RNA (570 nucleotides) under Periconia sahariana. Its description in RNAcentral is "sequence contains 18S rRNA gene, ITS1, 5.8S rRNA gene, ITS2, 28S rRNA gene". The stretch from base 195 to 348 matches the Rfam family "5.8S ribosomal RNA". Lineage: Eukaryota; Fungi; Ascomycota; Dothideomycetes; Pleosporales; Periconiaceae. The record is from RNAcentral.